RNAcentral lists this transfer RNA (73 nucleotides) under Patescibacteria group bacterium. RNAcentral describes it as "Patescibacteria bacterium tRNA". It matches the Rfam family "tRNA". Rfam says of the family: Transfer RNA (tRNA) molecules are approximately 80 nucleotides in length. RNAcentral also lists the same sequence under 1 other name. The record is from Rfam by way of RNAcentral.
GCCACUCUAGCUCAGCUGGUAGAGCAGCUGUUUUGUAAACAGCGGGUCGUGGGUUCGAGUCCCUCGAGUGGCU